RNAcentral lists this ribosomal RNA (523 nucleotides) under uncultured bacterium. RNAcentral describes it as "bacterial SSU rRNA". The record is from RNAcentral.
AUACGACUCACUAUAGGGCGAAUUGGGCCCGACGUCGCAUGCUCCCGGCCGCCAUGGCGGCCGCGGGAAUUCGAUUAGAGUUUGAUCCUGGCUCAGGAUAAACGCUGGCGGCGUGCAUAAAACAUGCAAGUCGAACGGGCAGGUUUCGGCCUGCCAGUGGCGAACGGCUGAGUAACACGUAAGUGACCUGCCCCCGAGUGGGGAAUAACUGCUCGAAAGAGUGGCUAAUACCGCAUGUACUCGSGUCUUCGUUGGUGSGAGUAAAGCCUUCGGGUGCUUGGGGAKGGGCUUGCGUCCGAUUAGCUAGUUGGKGGGGUAACGGCCCACCAAGGCGAUGAUCGGUAGCUGGUCUGAGAGGAUGAUCAGCCAGACKGGGACUGSGACACGGCCCAGACUCCUACGGGAGGCAGCAGUUAGGAAUUUUGCGCAAUGGCCGAAAGGCUGACGCAGCAACGCCGCGUGGGGGASGAAGGUCUUCGGAUCGUAAACCCCUUUUCCGAGGGAAGAUGAUGACGGUACCUCG